This 87-nucleotide transfer RNA is filed under the name Clostridia bacterium. RNAcentral describes it as "tRNA-Leu". It matches the Rfam family "tRNA". Rfam says of the family: Transfer RNA (tRNA) molecules are approximately 80 nucleotides in length. Their secondary structure includes four short double-helical elements and three loops (D, anti-codon, and T loops). RNAcentral also lists the same sequence under 2 other names. The record is from RNAcentral. Lineage: Bacteria; Bacillati; Bacillota; Clostridia.
GCCGAUGUGGUGGAAUUGGCAGACGCGCGGGACUCAAAAUCCCGUGGUAGCAAUACCGUGUGGGUUCGACCCCCACCAUCGGCACCA